RNAcentral lists this ribosomal RNA (406 nucleotides) under uncultured bacterium. RNAcentral describes it as "bacterial SSU rRNA". It matches the Rfam family "Bacterial small subunit ribosomal RNA", at positions 354 to 777 of the family's 1533-position model. The record is from RNAcentral.
GUGGGGAAUAUUGCACAAUGGGGGGAACCCUGAUGCAGCGACGCCGCGUGGGUGAAGAAGUAUUUCGGUAUGUAAAGCCCUAUCAGCAGGGAAGAAAAAGACGGUACCUGACUAAGAAGCCCCGGCUAACUACGUGCCAGCAGCCGCGGUAAUACGUAGGGGGCAAGCGUUAUCCGGAUUUACUGGGUGUAAAGGGAGCGUAGACGGCAGUGCAAGCCUGGAGUGAAAGGAUGGGGCCCAACCCCAUGACUGCUCUGGGAACUGUGCAGCUGGAGUGCCGGAGGGGUAAGCGGAAUUCCUAGUGUAGCGGUGAAAUGCGUAGAUAUUAGGAGGAACACCAGUGGCGAAGGCGGCUUACUGGACGGCAACUGACGUUGAGGCUCGAAAGCGUGGGGAGCAAACAGGA